Molecule: ribosomal RNA, 253 nt
Filed under: uncultured bacterium
Lineage: Bacteria
Description: partial 16S ribosomal RNA
Rfam family: Bacterial small subunit ribosomal RNA
Source: RNAcentral
UACGAAGGGGGCUAGCGUUGUUCGGAAUUACUGGGCGUAAAGCGCGCGCAGGCGGUUCUUCAAGUCUGAGGUGAAAGCCCAGAGCUCAACUCUGGAAUGGCCUUUGAGACUAGAGAACUAGGGUACGGGAGAGGUGAGUGGAAUUCCGAGUGUAGAGGUGAAAUUCGUAGAUAUUCGGAAGAACACCAGUGGCGAAGGCGGCUCACUGGCCCGUUACCGACGCUCAGGCGCGACAGCGUGGGGAGCAAACAGG